Molecule: ribosomal RNA, 517 nt
Filed under: uncultured euryarchaeote
Lineage: Archaea; Methanobacteriati; Methanobacteriota
Description: bacterial SSU rRNA
Rfam family: Archaeal small subunit ribosomal RNA
Source: RNAcentral
UGCCCUAUCGUCUGGAAUAACCUCGGGAAACUGAAAACAAGGCCGGAUAGUUAACAAUGCCUGGAACGGUUUGUGAAUCAAGGUAGGAUGGGUCUGCGGCGUAUCAGGUUGUAGGGGGUGUAACGGACCCCCUAGCCAUCGACGCGUACGGUUGUUGGAAGACAUAGCCCGAAGAUGGAUUCUAAGACACAAAUCCAAACCCUACGGGGUGCAGCAGGCGCAAAAACUUCACACUGCAGGAAAUUGUGAUGAGGGAACUCCAAGUGCUCUAUCACUAUGUGGUAUUUUUUCUUGACUAUUAAUCGGUCAUGGAAUAAGGGCUGGAAAAAACCGGUGCCAGCCGCCCCGUUAAUACCGGCAGCUCAGGUGGUCGUCGUUUUUAUUGGGCCAAACCCGUCCGUAGCCUGUUUGGUAAAUCUGUGGGUAAAUCAACCAGCUUAACUGGUUGAAUUCUGCAAAGACUGCCAAACUAGGGACCGGAAGAGGUGUGGGGUACUCUCGGGGUAGGGGUAAAAUC